This 164-nucleotide ribosomal RNA is filed under the name uncultured bacterium. RNAcentral describes it as "partial 16S ribosomal RNA". It matches the Rfam family "Bacterial small subunit ribosomal RNA", at positions 355 to 511 of the family's 1533-position model. The record is from RNAcentral.
UAGGGAAUCUUCCACAAUGGACGCAAGUCUGAUGGAGCAACACCGCGUGAGUGAAGAAGGGUUUCGGCUCGUAAAGCUCUGUUGUUAAAGAAGAACACGUAUGAGAGUAACUGUUCAUACGUUGACGGUAUUUAACCAGAAAGUCACGGCUAACUACGUGCCGG